This 136-nucleotide ribosomal RNA is filed under the name uncultured bacterium. RNAcentral describes it as "partial 16S ribosomal RNA". It matches the Rfam family "Bacterial small subunit ribosomal RNA", at positions 329 to 482 of the family's 1533-position model. The record is from RNAcentral.
UUCCAGGCCCUACGGGGGGCAGCAGUGAGGGAUUUUCGGCAAUGGGCGAAAGCCUGACCGAGCGACGCCGCGUGAGCGAAGAAGGCCUUCGGGUCGUAAAGCUCUGUCUAGGGGGACGAGAGAGGACGGUACCCCU